GUUUAGUUUAUUGCCACAGAUGUUUGCGGUCCGAGUACUUACCGAUCCCAAACCGGGGUUUAUUGGCAUGACAUUUUCAAAUCACCCUACUGUUCAUAGAUGUAGACAUUGAUCAAAUACUUGAGUGGAUGGAGCGAUGAGAGAGAGGUAGUGUUAUAAACACAGAGCGAUCGAGAACGCAAUAAUACAAACACACGAGAUCAGUGGCAAGAAACCCGCUAGCUUGCUAUGAGGUAUUGGAAUGCGGCAGUAGUGGAUUUUGUCAUUUAUUUUCAUACUUUUGGGUUAAAAACGAAAAAAAAUUGUUCAUAGUAACUUUGUUUAGUCUAUUUAUUAUUUUAGCCAAAGCAACUUCGCUCUAAUAAUAUGAAGCUUACUCCUCAAGUCCUCAAGUCGGGAUUUAGUGACGAUUCCGACAAAAAAAUUGAAAAGGUUUUGGACUUUUAUAGCAGAAUAAGUUGGUCUAUCUAGUGGAGAAAUCGUUUUUUUGUGAAUUUUGUUAAUGUAGUUUAUUAUUUUUAAAUGUAGUGUUAUAGUUUAUAAUUUAUUAUGUCAGGAUUAUAGAAUAAUUAAACGACGAUUUUCUCAA
This is a long non-coding RNA of Tribolium castaneum (red flour beetle), 589 nucleotides long. RefSeq lists it as uncharacterized. The transcript has 2 exons. The record is from RefSeq and is a predicted model, not a curated record. Lineage: Eukaryota; Metazoa; Arthropoda; Insecta; Coleoptera; Tenebrionidae.